RNAcentral lists this non-coding RNA (145 nucleotides) under Rhodococcoides fascians. The record is from RNAcentral. Lineage: Bacteria; Bacillati; Actinomycetota; Actinomycetes; Mycobacteriales; Nocardiaceae.
AAGGUCGAACGACGGUAGGGUUCGACCAACGGAGCUGAUGCGGGGAAGUCCUGUGUGAUUCAGGCGCGGUCCCGCCACUGUGUACGAGUAUUCCGAUUGUCGGCAGCCUCGUAAGCCAGAUCACCGCACAGCAUCGAAAUUACUU